GCAUAUCAAUAAGCGGAGGAAAAGAAACCAACAGGGAUUGCCUUAGUAGCGGCGAGUGAAGCGGCAAAAGCUCAAAUUUGAAAUCUGGCUCUUUCAGAGUCCGAGUUGUAAUUUGAAGAAGGUAUCUUUGGGCCUGGCUCUUGUCUAUGUUUCUUGGAACAGAACGUCACAGAGGGUGAGAAUCCCGUGCGAUGAGAUGACCCAGGUCCGUGUAAAGUUCCUUCGACGAGUCGAGUUGUUUGGGAAUGCAGCUCUAAGUGGGUGGUAAAUUCCAUCUAAGGCUAAAUAUUGGCGAGAGACCGAUAGCGAACAAGUACAGUGGUGGAAAGAUGAAAAGAACUUUGAAAAGAGAGUGAAAAAGUACGUGAAAUUGUUGAAAGGGAAGGGCUUGAGAUCAGACUUGGCAUUUUGCAUGUUGCUUCUUCGGGGGCGGCCUCUGCGGUUUGUCGGGCCAGCAUCAGUUUGGGCGGUAGGACAAUCGCGCGGGAAUGUGGCACGGCCUCGGCUGUGUGUUAUAGCCCGCGUGGAUACUGCCAGCCUAGACUGAGGACUGCGGUUUAUACCUAGGAUGUUGGCAUAAUGAUCUUAAGUCGCCCGUCUUGAAACACGGACC
This 613-nucleotide ribosomal RNA is filed under the name [Candida] aquae-textoris. RNAcentral's name for it is "eukaryotic LSU rRNA". It matches the Rfam family "Eukaryotic large subunit ribosomal RNA", at positions 38 to 667 of the family's 3401-position model. Lineage: Eukaryota; Fungi; Ascomycota; Saccharomycetes; Saccharomycetales. The record is from RNAcentral.